GAUAUGGCUCAGAACGAACGCUGGCGGCGCGUUUAAGCAUGCAAGUCGAGCGGCAAGGGCCUUCGGGCCCCUAGAGCGGCGGACGAGUGAGUAACACGUGGACAAUCUGCCCCCGGCCCGGGAUAGCCCAGGGAAACCUGGAUUAAUACCGGAUGAGACGGGACCUGCGAUGGCGGGAUCCGGGAAAGGCGCUACGGCGCCGCCGGGGGAUGAGUCUGCGUCCCAUUAGCUAGACGGCGGGGUAACGGCCCACCGUGGCGACGAUGGGUAGCCGGCCUGAGAGGGUGGACGGCCACAUUGGAACUGAGACACGGUCCAGACUCCUACGGGAGGCAGCAGCUAAGAAUCUUCCGCAAUGGGCGAAAGCCUGACGGAGCGACGCCGCGUGAACGAAGAAGGCCGUGAGGUUGUAAAGUUCUUUUCGGGAGGGGGAACAACCGUGGCAGGGAAUGGCCGCGGGAUGACGUGAAUCCCGGAAUAAGCCCCGGCUAACUACGUGCCAGCAGCAGC
RNAcentral lists this ribosomal RNA (510 nucleotides) under uncultured bacterium. RNAcentral describes it as "bacterial SSU rRNA". It matches the Rfam family "Bacterial small subunit ribosomal RNA", at positions 15 to 518 of the family's 1533-position model. The record is from RNAcentral.